UUUAGGGGCGGUGUUUACAGACUGACUCCUCUCUGCAGCCGCCUUGCUUUCAGCUGGGUUUUUCAGCCUCUGCAGUUUUCCAGCUAGACGCGGAAAAACGAAAACACAGCUUGGGAAGCCCCCACCAGCGGAUACCCUGUGCCAAUUCACCUUGGCAGUGGCCAGGCUGCUGGUGUACACAGCAGCCAAGGCCAGCUCCACAUUCUACCCCCCCUCCCAUUUCACUGGAACCGGGAGCCCUGCGUUCAGAGGAAGGGCCUCUGCUCUACGGACUGCCAAAGUCGGCCGGGUUCCUCCGCUCCAAAAAUGGUGAGACAGGACUGCAUCUUGUCCACCGAGAAGCCACAAGCAG
This 352-nucleotide long non-coding RNA is filed under the name Nannospalax galili (Upper Galilee mountains blind mole rat). Its description in RNAcentral is "HOXA transcript at the distal tip, conserved region 3 (ENSNGAG00000002223.1)". It matches the Rfam family "HOXA transcript at the distal tip, conserved region 3". Lineage: Eukaryota; Metazoa; Chordata; Mammalia; Rodentia; Spalacidae. The record is from RNAcentral.